This 75-nucleotide antisense RNA is filed under the name Streptomyces albireticuli. RNAcentral's name for it is "ASpks TB sRNA". It matches the Rfam family "ASpks TB sRNA". The record is from Rfam by way of RNAcentral. Lineage: Bacteria; Bacillati; Actinomycetota; Actinomycetes; Kitasatosporales; Streptomycetaceae.
CUUGAGCGAGCCCAGCAGCAGCGGCCGUUCCUCGGGCCGGUCCUGCCCGUACGUGGCGAGCAGGGCCUGGGCCUC